UACGUAUUGUCGGCGAUGGUGACACGCGAUGAGUCGAGACCUGUCAAACUGGACGCCAUUGAUUUCAUUCUACCCGCGCUUGAAAACAAUUCUCUUGUCUUUCUAAAUCGGUGAAAACAAGAGGUCGUGAUUCUACCGAGCGCCAUUUGCAGUCUAAAGUCGAGUACACGAUAGUUUCGAAGUUGAGAAUAUUAGGAUGGAUUCGGGGCGUGACAUUGUAGAGGAGGACCCAGAGGCCGAAACAAAAGAAGAGGAACCCCGGCGAGCCGUAUCAGCCGAAGGUGCUGGGAGACAUAGAGAGGCCAGUGGUACUUCGUUUUUAAAAACCUGAGCAGGCUUAAGAAGGUUUUCCUAAAUGAAGAAACUUUGGGACUGGAUGAAAGCAGACGACUUCCCCAGGUAUCACGAUUGCGUAUUCGUGAUCUUGAUUCUAAGUACGGUGAAGGGCAAAGCAUGGACUUUUUGUUGUGCGUGGAGACGUCAAAUAGAUGGAGUAGUUACAUAUUCGAGGUAACAUUUAAAGCUGACUCGAACUUAGACUUCGCAAUGAAUACACCAGGUUCACAGCUGAAUGUGCCCGUGCAGUGUUCCCUCUCACGCAAUGUGUCACAAGAGGCACCCAGAAGUUGUCUUAGUGAUGAUGCCUUCCAACAAUGAGCAUUGUCUCUCUGUCAUGAAGUGGUACUGUAAAGUUUAUCAGAUCCGUCGCGACUGUCUUGCUUUGAUGAUAUCUCUCAUAAGGUUCCAUUAGCGCAGUGGAGAGUCGCGACGGCGCCUUGCUGAGUUUAUUGUAGAGAACGACGCGUCGUAGGAGUGUUAAAGUGUCGUUCAUUUGCUUCGCAAUCCAAAGAUUUAAUCCAGAGUCUCACAAGACGCAUUAGAAGAACUGUUGAGGUGAUUCACUCUAUGAAUGUAUCAAAAUUGUUUAAGGAUAUGCUUUUGCUCUCUGUUAAAACAUGUAAAAAUGGAAUAAAUAUUAUGCCACUUUCUGUGUCGGAGUAAUUUCUUUUACACCAUGUGUAUCGAUCUCACGAGAGUUCUUCAACAAAAGUGUCAUGGAGCUCUUGAUAAUCUUCUUGAUCAUACUCAACACCGAUGUCCGAAAGUGACGUUCGUGACGGGCAAAUUAUUUCUGCUUGCUUUUCCGGAAAUCGAGUGCGGUCGGUUUAACCAAGUCUGUUUCUAUCCGAAUUUCUGCAGGCAAAUGUGCAGUAUGAUUUGGCGUAUAAUCGAUAAGUAUA
This is a long non-coding RNA of Lineus longissimus, 1241 nucleotides long. RefSeq lists it as uncharacterized. The transcript has 3 exons. Lineage: Eukaryota; Metazoa; Nemertea; Pilidiophora; Heteronemertea; Lineidae. The record is from RefSeq and is a predicted model, not a curated record.